This 26-nucleotide non-coding RNA is filed under the name Homo sapiens (human). The record is from RNAcentral. Lineage: Eukaryota; Metazoa; Chordata; Mammalia; Primates; Hominidae.
UAUUCUUUUCCGAAGUAGAUUCAGCC